This 389-nucleotide ribosomal RNA is filed under the name uncultured bacterium. RNAcentral describes it as "bacterial SSU rRNA". It matches the Rfam family "Bacterial small subunit ribosomal RNA", at positions 28 to 419 of the family's 1533-position model. The record is from RNAcentral.
GACGAACGCUGGCGGCGUGCUUAACACAUGCAAGUCGAGCGGUAAGGCCCUUUCGGGGGUACACGAGCGGCGAACGGGUGAGUAACACGUGGGUGACCUGCCCUCAGCUCUGGGAUAAGCCUGGGAAACCGGGUCUAAUACCGGAUAUGACUCCAUGCGCAUGUUGUGGGGUGGAAAGCCUUGUGCGGCUGAGGAUGGGCCCGCGGCCUAUCAGCUUGUUGGUGGGGUGAUGGCCUACCAAGGCGACGACGGGUAGCCGGCCUGAGAGGGCGACCGGCCACACUGGGACUGAGACACGGCCCAGACUCCUACGGGAGGCAGCAGUGGGGAAUCUUGCGCAAUGGGCGAAAGCCUGACGCAGCGACGCCGCGUGAGGGAUGACGGCCUGG